GAUGAACGCUGGCGGCGUGCCUAAUACAUGCAAGUCGAGCGAAUGGAUUAAGAGCUUGCUCUUAUGAAGUUAGCGGCGGACGGGUGAGUAACACGUGGGUAACCUGCCCAUAAGACUGGGAUAACUCCGGGAAACCGGGGCUAAUACCGGAUAACAUUUUGAACCGCAUGGUUCGAAAUUGAAAGGCGGCUUCGGCUGUCACUUAUGGAUGGACCCGCGUCGCAUUAGCCGGUUGGUGAGGUAACGGCUCACCAAGGCAACGAUGCGUAGCCGACCUGAGAGGGUGAUCGGCCACACUGGGACUGAGACACGGCCCAGACUCCUACGGGAGGCAGCAGUAGGGAAUCUUCCGCAAUGGACGAAAGUCUGACGGAGCAACGCCGCGUGAGUGAUGAGGGCUUUCGGGUCGUAAAACUCUGUUGUUAGGGAAGAACAAGUGCUAGUUGAAUAAGCUGGCACCUUGACGGUACCUAACCAGAAAGCCACGGCUAACUACGUGCCAGCAGCCGCGGUAA
Molecule: ribosomal RNA, 515 nt
Filed under: uncultured bacterium
Lineage: Bacteria
Description: partial 16S ribosomal RNA
Rfam family: Bacterial small subunit ribosomal RNA
Source: RNAcentral